Molecule: ribosomal RNA, 602 nt
Filed under: uncultured bacterium
Lineage: Bacteria
Description: bacterial SSU rRNA
Rfam family: Bacterial small subunit ribosomal RNA (bases 1-527)
Source: RNAcentral
CCUACGGGAGGCAGCAGUGGGGAAUAUUGCACAAUGGGCGCAAGCCUGAUGCAGCGACGCCGCGUGAGGGAUGACGGCCUUCGGGUUGUAAACCUCUUUCAGUAGGGAAGAAGCCGCAAGGUGACGGUACCUGCAGAAGAAGCGCCGGCUAACUACGUGCCAGCAGCCGCGGUAAUACGUAGGGCGCAAGCGUUAUCCGGAAUUAUUGGGCGUAAAGAGCUCGUAGGCGGUUUGUCGCGUCUGCCGUGAAAGUCCGGGGCUCAACUCCGGAUCUGCGGUGGGUACGGGCAGACUAGAGUGAUGUAGGGGAGACUGGAAUUCCUGGUGUAGCGGUGAAAUGCGCAGAUAUCAGGAGGAACACCGAUGGCGAAGGCAGGUCUCUGGGCAUUAACUGACGCUGAGGAGCGAAAGCAUGGGGAGCGAACAGGAUUAGAUACCCUGGUAGUCCAUGCCGUAAACGUUGGGCACUAGGUGUGGGGGACAUUCCACGUUUUCCGCGCCGUAGCUAACGCAUUAAGUGCCCCGCCUGGGGAGGUACGGCCGCGAGACGAACGUACGAAGAAGUAGACGCGUAGACGNGCGAGACGACGACGAGGGAGAGG